UCAGUAGGUAGAAAGAAGGCUGAGACCUUUCCAGUUUGAGAUCCUUCAAGACUUACUGG
This is a microRNA precursor of Bison bison bison, 59 nucleotides long. Lineage: Eukaryota; Metazoa; Chordata; Mammalia; Artiodactyla; Bovidae. The record is from Ensembl.